Molecule: long non-coding RNA, 1694 nt
Organism: Notolabrus celidotus (New Zealand spotty)
Lineage: Eukaryota; Metazoa; Chordata; Actinopteri; Labriformes; Labridae
Exons: 3
Source: RefSeq, a predicted model, not a curated record
ACAAGUUGACACACAUUAGUUUUACUUUCAUUUCACUAGAAGCACUCUCAAAUCGCGGACUAUUUUAAUAAGGUAACUUUUGGAUUUGUUGUGACUUACGCUCUGUUUCUCUCGAAGCCCAUCUCCAGAAGACUCUCUAGUGUUGUUAGCUCUGCCAUUUUGACCUGAAACACAUGGUACACCAACAAGUGAUUCAACUUUUGACAUGCUUUUUACAGCACUGUUAACAGGAGGUAACAUGAGAAUGAAUGACUGAUAUUGGCGAAAUUUGCUGUAUUUAUCUGUCACAGAAUGGACCACCCUCCUCAAAACUCUAGUACCUGUUAUGCCCGUCUGUAAGAAAUAAUAGACGUUUUCAAGUGAUUUUCUGGAGCAAAAAAGGUAACAUGUGUAUAUGUCUCUAAAAAUACACUAGCUCCUGAUUCCUUGUCAGUAUAACUACGAGCUGCCUCGUUCUAUUUGUAUCAAACAAGUAUUGUAUGCAAUUUAACACAACUUCUUAAACUACAUUUUUCACAGGAGAGACCAACUCCUCUGGGUUUUGUAUUAAUUUGUUUCAUUAUAAACACACUAUUGUAGUGUGUGUGCUAAGAUUCACUGUAUAUCACGCUCACAGUUGAACAACCUGCUUCAAAAAUUAUUGCUCGGUGGUCAAAGUCAAAUGAGACAAUAGGGGUGAAGGUCUCUUCAAUCUAUACUUCAAUUGCUUUAUGGCUUUGUUUUUUUUACAGAAUGAGAGGGUCAAUGGUCAAAGCUCAAGUUAGAUAAGUUAAGAGAUGUUCUGUGAAACUAAGAAGAGGAGGUGUACUCAAGGAAAUGAUGCAUGUUCAAAGCCAUAUCAAUGCAUCCAUGUAAAAGAUUAAUUUUAAUAGACCAAAGGCUACAAUUCAUUUGCUUGGAUGGCACUCCUUUCUGACCCCCAGUGUUCUUUCAUUGAGUGCAUGACCCUGAUUUUAUUGGUAUCAUAAUAGUAAACAGUUUCUCAGAAGCCGUAAAAAGAUCAGGAGAUAUAAGUGGAUGACAUUUUACUGUCCUUUUGUGAGAUGCUGCUGGUAUUAUCACAUGACGGCACCGUUAGGAGUUCUUAAGGACAGUGGUUUUAUUUCAUGCAGUUGAUGGAGCCAACCAAAAGAGGGCAGCAUUAUUUCAAGUGUGAAAGUGUGUUUCAAUGGUUUCAUUCCAUUCAAUGUGCUUAACAUGUAGUUAUGUAACUCUUAUCUUUGAACGAUUGUUGGUUUGAGAAUUAUGUAUCAAUAAACCUGUGAUUGUGGUCUCUAAUUUAAUUGAAGUAUCCUCAAAAUAUAUGUCUGCCUGAAUGGUAGGUAUCAGCAGAGGACUAUUCAACUUGUAAAGUGGUGGAAUGAAUCCCACUACCAACAAGUUUUCAUGAUCUGCAUGGGUUGUCAGCUGUGCUCGUUCUGUGGGUCUCACCAGCUGUAACAGCAUCUCCAUAUGGAAAAAUUCUGGCUUCCAGUGGAGCUGCUGUUAUCUGUGGAGGGACACCUCUUGUCAACAAAAGGCUGCUGGGACACUGCUGCUGUAACUUACAGCUCACACUUGAUGUUCACAGUUCACACUUAUCUCUAUGAAAAGGCUGUGGGCAGUAACAACUUCUACUUCCUGUCAUCUUGUGCUAUUGUUACGCAUAUUCUUGUGCAGUUUGGCUUUGUAAUAAAAUUAGAAUGAUCCCUAAA